UGAGACAGAGAUCCACUUCAUCCUUCCAACAGGCAAGCAAGUCCAGUGGAAUUGUACCCUUCCAGUGUCCUACUGCAAAGCAGACCUUGAUGAAUCUUCGGAUGCUGCAGACUAUCUUCCAGACUCAUGCGGCAAUUCCUCGGAUGCUUCUAUUAUAAGUACUACAAGUUCUUGUAGUAAGGAAUAUAAAACCACAGAAAAGAAUCUCCACCACAAAUUGUCAGAGAACAAACCAUUAGGGAAUGUUACAGCACACAGUGGGGAUAGUACCACCAGUUCAGAGAAGCCAAGAACAUUAAGUUAUUCAAAGAUGCGCAGCAAUCCUUGUACUUCAGUAAUAAGCUGCAGUGCCAAUUCAUCAGAGAACACAUCACACCAGAAAAGCUCCAUAAAUGUCACACCUUUGUCAAUAACAGCAAAAGGAAGCAGGUACAACAAGAAGCAAUUUUGUCUUUAUUGUAAAAAGGCCAUUUAUAAAUUGGCAAGACACCUCGAAUCCAUCCACAGUGAAAAGCCUGAUGUUGCAAUGGCUUUCAGUUUUAAUAAAGGAUCCCGCAAAAGAAGAGAGUUGUUACGCUCUCUUAAGAAGAGAUGAAACUUUGAACAUAAUACUGAAGUGGCAAGCUGUGGCACUGGAGAGAUGGUUGCCUGUAAAAGACCUAGUAAUGCAAAACCAUCUGAUGACUACCGUGACUGCAAAUUUUGCGAAGGACUGUAUGCAAGAAAUUCCCUAUGGAGACAUGUGAGAAACUGCCCGAAGAAGUCUGUUGAGGGAGAGCCUCAAGUUGGGCGAAAAUGGAUUCAACUGCACUUACCAAGACCUGACUCAGUUAAGGAAACUGUUUGGAAGAUUGCUUGUGAAAUGAACCAGGAUGACGUUUCCUCGGUUGUAAGGAGUGAAACUGAAUUCCUUUGUAUCGGCGAGUCACUGUUGAAUUCCAGGAAACCAUAUGAGAGAAGGAAUGACUACAUACGC
Molecule: long non-coding RNA, 976 nt
Organism: Coregonus clupeaformis (lake whitefish)
Lineage: Eukaryota; Metazoa; Chordata; Actinopteri; Salmoniformes; Salmonidae
Exons: 3
Source: RefSeq, a predicted model, not a curated record